This 548-nucleotide ribosomal RNA is filed under the name uncultured Staphylococcus sp. Its description in RNAcentral is "bacterial SSU rRNA". It matches the Rfam family "Bacterial small subunit ribosomal RNA", at positions 65 to 595 of the family's 1533-position model. Lineage: Bacteria; Bacillati; Bacillota; Bacilli; Caryophanales; Staphylococcaceae. The record is from RNAcentral.
AGCGAACAGACGAGGAGCUUGCUCCUCUGACGUUAGCGGCGGACGGGUGAGUAACACGUGGAUAACCUACCUAUAAGACUGGGAUAACUUCGGGAAACCGGAGCUAAUACCGGAUAAUAUAUUGAACCGCAUGGUUCAAUAGUGAAAGACGGUUUUGCUGUCACUUAUAGAUGGAUCCGCGCCGCAUUAGCUAGUUGGUAAGGUAACGGCUUACCAAGGCAACGAUGCGUAGCCGACCUGAGAGGGUGAUCGGCCACACUGGAACUGAGACACGGUCCAGACUCCUACGGGAGGCAGCAGUAGGGAAUCUUCCGCAAUGGGCGAAAGCCUGACGGAGCAACGCCACGUGAGUGAUGAAGGUCUUCGGAUCGUAAAACUCUGUUAUUAGGGAAGAACAAAUGUGUAAGUAACUAUGCACGUCUUGACGGUACCUAAUCAGAAAGCCACGGCUAACUACGUGCCAGCAGCCGCGGUAAUACGUARGUGGCAAGCGUUAUCCGGAAUUAUUGGGCGUAAAGCGCGCGUAGGCGGUUUUUUAAGUCUGAUGU